UUCAUUCUUGAAGUUAGUGAGACCAAGAACCCACCAAUUCCGGACACAAUAGUACUUACGGCCUAGACUGCUUCUCACGUUUGCUUAAGAGACACAGAGUACUGUAGCUCUUCCUGGAGAGGUUUACAGAAAGCCAUGUUCAGACCACUGGGAUUUGUGAUUCUCCUCUGGCUAGGGCUGGUUUACAUGCUCCCUCCAUGGUGGGGAGUGGGGUGUCAGCUAAAUUUGGUCCAGUGUUCCUUUCUGCUCUAACAGGACGGCGCUGAGUUUAAUGUCUCACAAUUGCUGUGGUCUCUCUCUCUCCCCCAGCAUCCAGAGAUGCUUUCCACACCACGCUGCCAUGUGGGGAAGGGGAGAGAAUCCUCCACAAUUCAGGACUGUUUUUUUUCUGUCUCUUCAGUGCAUUUUUCAGCGAUAUGAAGCUAAAGACAGAUACUACGAGUCCUCACCUGAUAACUGGUUCUUAUGAAGGUGUUUUUUCUGUGUAGAGAGUUGUUAAUUGGUGUCCUUGUUGAAGGGAUGAUGGGUGAAGCAUUCUAUUCCUCCGUCUUGCUGUGCCUCCUCCCUCUCAAUGUUAUCAAACCAUUGAGAGAAACAGAACUUUCCUCAAAGCCAAGAAACAGCUUUCAAAAGGAAGUUUCCCAAAAACUCUUCUAAAAGUACCAGCAUAUCUUCAAACCAAAUGAGGAAAUUGCAGGCCACAGAUACAAGUAACCAGCUUAACCACUGGAUUGUGCUCUCUCUUUCCUUCUGUAAUCUACUUUGAACAAAUAAUACAAACGUGAAUAAUCCA
Molecule: long non-coding RNA, 793 nt
Filed under: Homo sapiens (human)
Lineage: Eukaryota; Metazoa; Chordata; Mammalia; Primates; Hominidae
Description: HSALNT0335718
Source: RNAcentral